CCUCUUGCUUCUGAUCACUAGCUCAACACUAGCCCAAAAGUUCAGCUCCUUAGGGAGGGCUACUCCAUGCCUAGAGUCAGUGAUAAAGGUGGGGACCCUGCUUCCAUUUGGCCACUGUCACCUUGGACAAUACAUCAAGGAAAGGAAAGGAAAUGGUGUCAGCUAUGAUGGGGUGAAAUGGAGUUGAGGAAUGAAUAACAACUCAGAUCUCUCCACAGUUUCCCCUCACCCCCAACUCCUAGCAGGCAGCCACUAGGAAAAGGUGCCCCCAACACCUCUACCCAGCAUUAUUACAACCACGUUUCCUCAUCGCCACACCUCCUCACCAGAGCCAGACUGGAAGGAAUGGUGGGCCAGACAGCUCUGGAGACUAGAGUUCAAGUUCAAGUUCAGUUCUACCACUAUCAAAUGAUACGAUCUUGGGCAAAGUAAAAGCUCUUGGGACCUCA
Long non-coding RNA from Cavia porcellus (domestic guinea pig), 449 nucleotides. RefSeq lists it as uncharacterized. NCBI's taxonomy places the organism in Eukaryota, Metazoa, Chordata, Mammalia, Rodentia, Caviidae. The transcript is spliced from 2 exons. The record is from RefSeq and is a predicted model, not a curated record.